GAUGAACGCUGGCGGCGUGCCUAAUACAUGCAAGUCGAGCGAACGGGCGAGACGCUUGCUUCUCUGAUGUUAGCGGCGGACGGGUGAGUCACACGUGGAUAACCUACCUAUAAUACUGGGAUCACUUCGGGAAACCGGCGCUAAUACCGUAUGAUAUUUUGCACCGCAUGGUUCAAUAGUGAAAGACGGUCUUUCUGUCACUUGUCGAUGGAUCCGCGCUGCAUUAGCUAGUUGGUAAGGUAACGGCUUACCAAGGCAACGAUGCGUAGCCGGCCUGAGAGGGUGACCGGCAACAUGGGGAAGGAGAGAAGGCCAAGACUGCUACGGGAGGAAGCAGGGGGGAAUAUUGCAGAAUGGGCGGAAGCAUGAUGCAGCAACGCCGCGUGCGGGAUGACGGCCGUCGGGUUGUAAACCGAGUGCGACUGUGACGAAGCGGGAGUGACGGUAAGGGGUAAAGAAGAACCGGCUAACUAAGUG
This 477-nucleotide ribosomal RNA is filed under the name uncultured bacterium. Its description in RNAcentral is "partial 16S ribosomal RNA". It matches the Rfam family "Bacterial small subunit ribosomal RNA", at positions 28 to 507 of the family's 1533-position model. The record is from RNAcentral.